Molecule: ribosomal RNA, 741 nt
Filed under: uncultured bacterium
Lineage: Bacteria
Description: bacterial SSU rRNA
Rfam family: Bacterial small subunit ribosomal RNA
Source: RNAcentral
AGAGUUUGAUCAUGGCUCAGAACGAACGCUGGCGGCAGGCUUAACACAUGCAAGUCGAACGCAUCCUUCGGGGUGAGUGGCAGACGGGUGAGUAACACGUGGGAACGUACCUUUCGGUUCGGGAUAACCCAGGGAAACUUGGGCUAAUACCGGAUACGUCCUUAGGGAGAAAGAUUUAUUGCCGAGAGAUCGGCCCGCGUCUGAUUAGCUAGUUGGUGAGGUAAAGGCUCACCAAGGCGACGAUCAGUAGCUGGUCUGAGAGGAUGAUCAGCCACACUGGGACUGAGACACGGCCCAGACUCCUACGGGAGGCAGCAGUGGGGAAUAUUGGACAAUGGGCGCAAGCCUGAUCCAGCCAUGCCGCGUGAGUGAUGAAGGCCUUAGGGUUGUAAAGCUCUUUCGGCGGGGACGAUAAUGACGGUACCCGCAGAAGAAGCCCCGGCUAACUUCGUGCCAGCAGCCGCGGUAAUACGAAGGGGGCUAGCGUUGUUCGGAAUCACUGGGCGUAAAGGGCGCGUAGGCGGCUUUAUAAGUCGGGGGUGAAAGCCUGUGGCUCAACCACAGAAUUGCCUUCGAUACUGUAUGGCUUGAGACCGGAAGAGGUAAGUGGAACUGCGAGUGUAGAGGUGAAAUUCGUAGAUAUUCGCAAGAACACCAGUGGCGAAGGCGGCUUACUGGUCCGGUUCUGACGCUGAGCGCGAAAGCGUGGGGAGCAAACAGGAUUAGAUACCCUAGUAGUCC